Long non-coding RNA from Ictidomys tridecemlineatus (thirteen-lined ground squirrel), 1655 nucleotides. RefSeq lists it as uncharacterized. Lineage: Eukaryota; Metazoa; Chordata; Mammalia; Rodentia; Sciuridae. The record is from RefSeq and is a predicted model, not a curated record.
GAGGUCCAUUGGUGAUGGCUGCCCACUUCUUGGGCACUGCUGGCCUCUGGCUGUUGGCCCUCUCAGGCCUGCCACCGAGGCCCAGCAGCUGCAGCAGAAAGGAGAGAGACGUGCAAGAACGAGAACACAGAGCUGUGGCCCGCGGCCUGGGUCUGUCUGCUGCUCAGACAGACCAUCAAAAUGUAGUGAACAGACACUUUUUUAUAGGAAUGGGGACGUCUAGAAGCUGGAGAAAUAUGGGAGACGGAUGAGAUGAUGGAUGGAAAGUAAAAAAGGCCACUUUCAAGAAACCUGAAAUACCAAGGUUCUCAGAGGGCGAUUUUAAACACAAAGCCGCUCUUGCGCUGUGGAGGGUCUCAGACAGCCUCCCCCGGGCUCCGUUCCCUGUCCCAUGGACACGAAGUCCCGUCUCUGUGGUUCCUCACCUUCAGGCCUGAGAGACUUGAAAAUCUGGAAGGCUACAGUCUUCUCCACAACGGAGACACGAGGACAUGGGGUCGUGCUUCCAACUUCGGGAGGUGUCUGGAGCCCUGAGCUGCGGUCCUGGCCCUGGUGUGUGGCCCUGGCCUCCCCACGGCUUCCUGUGACUUCUCCUGCCCAGGGCUGGAGAGCUGUGCUAUCAUUUCACAAUCAGCCAUGUCCCCCCUGUUCCCAGGAAUCAACAAGCUGAGCGAGGCCGCCUCCCCACACCCUGAAGAGGCUCUCCAAGGGGGCAGGCCCUCUUGGGUGGAGCCCAGGGUCCCCAGGGCUGCUGCCUGAGGCUCUUCUCCCCCAGCUCAGGCUGCGGGCACCUUGACUCCGCUGGGUUCCUCUGGUGGUGACAGUCCCGCAGGGCACAGACCGAUGGCCUCUGCUUCUGUGCUGAGGGAAUGGGUGGCAGAGGGAGGCAGCCCCCGUGACACACGGGCUCAGCUGGCAAGCAGCACCCACGCUCUAUGUCCUGGAGUGCGCUGGUGCCCUCAGGGCCCUAGGUAGGGGACCUGGAGCAGGAAACCCUGGCGUCCCCCUCCUCACUGCAGCCCAGCCUCGGCGACUACUGGGGGACCUUGAAGUUCAUGAGAGUGGAGGUGUGGGUCUGGUCCCCCAGGUGGAGCCCUAAUGGGCCCCGGGGCCCAGAGUCCCUGGAUUGCAUCCCCCUGUGCCUGGGCCCACUCACUGCUCCCUGCUUCCUGGCCUCCAGGGUGUGGAGGGUGUCAAGUGUCCCCAGCGAGGACAGUCAGCCUUAGCUGAGAUUGGACCAGGCUCAGCUGGGCUCGGGCAGAGGCAGCACCACCAUGGGCGGAGAAGAGCUCGGGUCUGCUGGGGACGGGCCCAGGUGGGGGUCACUGUCCCCCCAUGAGCCUCCGAGCCUUCCAGGGACAGGAAGCCCGGCCUGCUCUGUGCCCUGAGGCUCUUCUCCUCACCCCUGUGUGUACAUGUCACCUGUGCCACGGCCCCCGUCUGGAUCUGGGAAGUGACUGCCGCUCCCUGCGCCCCGUCUUUCCUUCCUUUUCCUUCCUCAGCAAGGACAUUAUUCAACCCAGUAACACCCGAUUCAAUAAGAAAGAGUAAGAAUCAGUUGUCUCUGUAUUAAAAUGUUGUGUUAAUUUAAAAUAAAUUUGUUCACAUUGUUUUGAACAUUGAAACCACACAAAUUGAUAAAGAGGCACAAACUG